Molecule: unclassified non-coding RNA, 417 nt
Filed under: uncultured Sebacina
Lineage: Eukaryota; Fungi; Basidiomycota; Agaricomycetes; Sebacinales; Sebacinaceae
Description: sequence contains ITS2
Rfam family: 5.8S ribosomal RNA (bases 1-154)
Source: RNAcentral
AACUUGCUGCAAUGUGUCUCUUGGCUCUCGCGUCGAUGAAGAACGCAGCGAAAUGCGAUAAGUAAUGUGAAUUGCAGAAUUCAGUGAAUCAUCGAAUCUUUGAACGCACCUUGCACCCUUUGGCAUUCCGAAGGGUAUGCUCGUUUGAGUGUCAUUGUACUCUCACACUCCCGAUGCUUUUGGAUUGGGAGUGGUGGACUUGGGUGUUGCUGCUUUACUGUGGCUCACCUCAAAUGGAGUAGUGCAACUCUUGGUUGGACAUAGUACGGCGUGAUAAGUGUCUUCGCCGGCGCCUCAUUAGAGGGUGGCCGAUCGGGAGCUCUGUGCUUCAAACCGUCUUCGGACAACAUCUGACAACUUGACCUCAAAUCGAGUAGGACUACCCGCUGAACUUAAGCAUAUCAAUAAGCGGAGGCU